CCCCUAAACAGAAAGUGUGAAGAGGCUGC
Molecule: non-coding RNA, 29 nt
Filed under: Homo sapiens (human)
Lineage: Eukaryota; Metazoa; Chordata; Mammalia; Primates; Hominidae
Source: RNAcentral